RNAcentral lists this long non-coding RNA (2259 nucleotides) under Homo sapiens (human). Its description in RNAcentral is "long non-coding RNA NONHSAT209364.1". Lineage: Eukaryota; Metazoa; Chordata; Mammalia; Primates; Hominidae. The record is from RNAcentral.
AUUAUUCAGAGUCCAUCAUCUACAGGUUCGUGGAAAGAUUAUUAAAGUCUGGUAAGACCAAUUCUGUGGAAUCUCUUCCAGAACUGUUGACAUCAGACUCUGAAGGAAGCUAUGCAGGAGUGGGUAGUCCUAGAGAUUUACAGUCCCCUGAUUUCACAACAGGAUUUCAUUCAGAUAAGAUUGAGGCGAAAGUCAAACCGUAUGUUAAUGGUACAUCUCCUGUGUAUUCUAGGGAAGAUUUAAAACCAUGGGAAAAGUCACCAAUACUUAAAAUAUCUGCUCCACAGCCUAUUCCCAGUAACAGAAUUGAUACUACCAGCUCUGCCAGUUGGGUUGCUGGUUCUUUCAGUCCUGUCAGCCCUCCUGUUGUGGAUCUCAGAACUAUCAUGGAAAUAGAAGAAAGUAGACAAAAAUGUGGAGCUACACCAAAGUCACAUUUAGGCAAAACAGUUUCUCAUGGAGUUAAACUUUCUCAGAAGCAACGAAAAAUGAUUGCAUUGACUACCAAGGAAAACAAUUCAGGAAUGAAUAGCAUGGAAACAGUUUUAUUCACUCCUUCAAAAGCCCCCAAACCAGUGAAUGCAUGGGCAUCUUCUCUGCAUUCAGUUUCAUCCAAGUCAUUCCGGGAUUUCUUACUAGAAGAAAAAAAGUCUGUUACUAGCCAUAGUUCAGGCGAUCAUGUCAAAAAAGUUUCUUUUAAAGGAAUUGAAAAUUCUCAGGCACCAAAAAUUGUCAGAUGCUCUACCCAUGGUACCCCAGGACCAGAAGGCAACCAUAUUUCAGAUUUACCACUUCUAGACAGUCCCAAUCCCUGGCUAUCUUCUUCAGUGACUGCUCCAUCCAUGGUAGCCCCAGUCACUUUUGCAUCUAUUGUAGAAGAAGAACUACAACAAGAAGCAGCUCUUAUUAGAAGUCGAGAAAAACCGUUGGCUCUGAUUCAGAUUGAGGAGCAUGCCAUACAAGAUUUAUUGGUUUUCUAUGAGGCAUUUGGCAACCCUGAAGAGUUUGUCAUUGUUGAAAGGACACCGCAGGGACCACUGGCAGUACCUAUGUGGAAUAAGCAUGGAUGCUAGUUCACUGUGGAGUUGAGAUGCAUUUUACAUAAUUAUGAGUUUGUUCAUAUAAAGAAAAGCUGUGGAAAAGAGUCUUAGAGAUUUUGUAAUAUCAUUCUAAAUAGAUUAAGAAAAGAUAUAAUUUCUUUACUGCAGUUAAAUCAUAUAAUGUUUGUAUGAUUAAAAAUAAAUUUCUCAGAAUUGUGAUUUUAGUAACUUUAUAUAAAAUGUGUGAGACAAAAACUUAUUAAGGUUAAAUAGAAUUGUUUCUUCUGAAUAAUCUAACAAAGGAAAAUAUAAGUGAUUGAAUCAUAAGAUAUAAGGGGGGUAAAGUAUUAAAAAUAACUUUUUUGUUUGAUAACUUGAGAAUUUAGAAGAUUUUGCCAAGUAUGUGUUGUUGCUUGACUUCUUAAAUAUGGCAUUGAUGAAUUUAAAGUAGGAGCAUCAGUUAUUACUUCUGAUUCAUUAAUGGCCAGAAUUUUGUGUUUGGUGUAAUAGUUGUGUCACCAUUCUUGUUGCUUUUUAAAAAUCAGGCUAAUCAUGUGGUCCAUGUCUCUUCAAAGCUUGACCUGCACAAAUGCCAUAUUUCUAUUUGGACCACAUAUUCUCCAUUUUGCAUUGAGCAGUAGAGUACAGUGGAAAGGGAAUAAGAAUACUGAUUAUUCUGAACAGUUUAGUCCCAAGAGAAUAGCGUUUUAAAAAAGAAAAACAAGAUUUGGAGUCAUUGUGGGUUAUUUUUGGUGGGAUGGAGGAUCUUAAAAAUGCCUAAUUGUGAGAGAAUCAAUUGCUGAAAGUGUUAAAAUUUCUGAAAAUAAAUGCUUAAUUACAUAUACAGGAAUUAAAUAGUUUGGAAGAGGGUUGGAUUAUCAUUACCUUUACAAUACUGUAUAAUCAGAAGUUCUCUGAACCUCAAUUGUAUAUCUAGACAUAAAAAUUGUUUUCUGUAUAGGAUGUUGUUUGGUUUGUUUCUGAGUGUUUAAAUUUUGCAAAAACAAAUGUUAAAUUUGUGCUUCAGUACCUAGAUAAAUUGGAAAGGUUAAUGUUCUAGUUUCUGGAAGGUAAGCCUGGGAGACACAUAAGCAAUUCACUGCUAUAAUUUAGUUGAUGUAAAAUGACGGAAACUGACUCAAUAUGUCAGGUUUAACUCUGCCCAAAAGCAGCAGACAUGUAAGCAGAUGUGCAAUAAAAAAUGAUCUUGAUCCAUUUC